AGAGCGCAACAGGGCGCUUCGUUGCGCCGGUGCCGGGCUGUGCAGCUACACAAGCCCGAGGUGCCGGCUGAGCUUUGUUGCCCUCGUCUCCAAAAAAAGGCAUACUGGUGCUGGGAAGGAUUCCCAGUGAAAGGUGUUCACCUGGAAAGAAACUUGAUGCCAUAAACUUGCUUCAUAGCAGAGUGACAACUUAAGAUGGACGUUAUGGAACGGACUUUGCCUCAGAGAACGUAGUGCCCAUGGUCCAUUCCUGUUCAUGUAGAUACAGUUGAAGUCCAUGCCACUUUUUUCCACUGCUGGUUUUACCUGCGGUAACUAGGUUAAGAUUAACGCAAAUAAAGCUUUUACCC
This is a long non-coding RNA of Pygoscelis adeliae (Adelie penguin), 350 nucleotides long. RefSeq lists it as uncharacterized. The transcript has 3 exons. The record is from RefSeq and is a predicted model, not a curated record. Lineage: Eukaryota; Metazoa; Chordata; Aves; Sphenisciformes; Spheniscidae.